RNAcentral lists this ribosomal RNA (507 nucleotides) under uncultured bacterium. RNAcentral describes it as "partial 16S ribosomal RNA". It matches the Rfam family "Bacterial small subunit ribosomal RNA", at positions 28 to 507 of the family's 1533-position model. The record is from RNAcentral.
GACGAACGCUGGCGGCGUGCCUAAUACAUGCAAGUCGAACGCUUCUUUCCUCCCGAGUGCUUGCACUCAAUUGGAAAGAGGAGUGGCGGACGGGUGAGUAACACGUGGGUAACCUACCCAUCAGAGGGGGAUAACACUUGGAAACAGGUGCUAAUACCGCAUACCGUUUUUUCCCCAUUGCAUUAGAGUUAAAGGCGCUUUCGGGUGUCGCUGAUGGGUGGACCCGCGGUGCAUUAGCUAGUUGGUGAGGUAACGGCUCACCAAGGCCACGAUGCAUAGCCGACCUGAGAGGGUGAUCGGCCACACUGGGACUGAGACACGGCCCAGACUCCUACGGGAGGCAGCAGUAGGGAAUCUUCGGCAAUGGACGAAAGUCUGACCGAGCAACGCCGCGUGAGUGAAGAAGGUUUUCGGAUCGUAAAACUCUGUUGUUAGAGAAGAACAAGGACGUUAGUAACUGAACGUCCCCUGACGGUAUCUAACCAGAAAGCCACGGCUAACUACGUG